UUAUGAGGGCACCGACUUCAGCGAGAUCUCCUUUCUGUGCUGCUCUAUGCAAGGGCGUCAAGCACUGCAUCUGGAUCACCUCCUGCACAGGCAAAGUACAGUAUCUGGUUAACAGCGAUGACCAGCGAAAGAAUUCAGGGUUUAAAUACGUGACAUGAAGGUCACAAGUUCCAAGAUCUCCGAAAUACCGAGCCUUGACACUUCCUGCCUCUACUGGCAGCAACAAUCCAGAAGAUGUCUUCGUUGAAAAGACAUGAUUCCAGGUCCUCAUGAUACAACGAGAUGUUAUCAAUAUCUUUAAUUACUUCCAAAGUCAGUUAAGGCAGCAUAAAGCCCCAGACUUUAAGAAACACCGCUCACCUUAUACAGGCUGGUGUCAGUCGUCUUCCAAGCAGUCGCCUUGCGUUCCUAGAUCGGUUAUAGACAUACGCAGAAAACGGAUCAGCAUCUGAAGCGGCUGUCAAUAUAACGUCAACAGGCUCUUGAGAGAACAAAGCACGUCGGGAUUGCUGACACAGGCGCCACUGCAAAGACACGCGAGGAAGGCAACAGUCUGAGGAUCUUUCUUCAGCACCAAUCCUAGUACUAAACAUGAAAGGUAUGUGAUCUCAAUUUAAAGGA
This 621-nucleotide long non-coding RNA is filed under the name Coccomyxa subellipsoidea. RNAcentral describes it as "long non-coding RNA (CSUB_LNC000526)". Lineage: Eukaryota; Viridiplantae; Chlorophyta; Trebouxiophyceae; Coccomyxaceae. The record is from RNAcentral.